UAAAGUCAUUUUUAAUUUUAUAAACUUAUAAAAGCCGUUACAUUUUGUUUCUUUUUGAUGAUUAUGGCGCUGACUAUGUUUGUUGGUAUCCAUAUGGGAAAGUUGGACUAAUAAUAAAGGUAUAAUUUGCCUAUAGGAACUUCAUCUGACUGAAUAAAACACAAGUUGUAAUUUCCAACCAGCCACUUCUUCAGCCUACAUCUACUGAUGUCAGAGAGAGCAGAGGGCAAGAGGGCUAAAGAAACCUACGGUUUUCUUAAAAUUUCUUAAGAAACGUAAACAUAUUGAUUUAAUAGAUUCUAUUUAACAAUCAACAUGAUUACAGAUAUGCAAAUAGCUGUUUUAUAUAACAUUCUAGGCAUGUCUAUAUUCGUUCUGGUGAUAUUUUAUCAUUAUGUCAACGCUAAUAGCUACUGGUAAAAAAAUCCAAACUUAAAAAACGCGCACUUGGCCAUGUAUUAUUUAAUGAAAACGGCGUUUUCUUUUGAUUCAGAUUGGUCUCACGAGUCGCCUAUACCAAGAGGUUAUUAAUGCUUAAUUAUUAAGAUGUUAAUAAAUUAAGGUUUUUAAAACUA
Molecule: long non-coding RNA, 575 nt
Organism: Papilio polytes (common Mormon)
Lineage: Eukaryota; Metazoa; Arthropoda; Insecta; Lepidoptera; Papilionidae
Exons: 3
Source: RefSeq, a predicted model, not a curated record